This 124-nucleotide small RNA is filed under the name Marmota monax (woodchuck). The record is from RNAcentral. Lineage: Eukaryota; Metazoa; Chordata; Mammalia; Rodentia; Sciuridae.
GCUGGGCGUAGUGGCGCACGCCUAUAAUCCCAGAAACUCAGGAGGCUGAGGCAGGAGGAUUGCGAGUUCAAAGCCAGCCUCAGCAAAGUGAAGCACUAAGCAACUCAAUAAGAUCCUGCCUCUA